UGAUGACGAGACGCUAAGGCGUUGAAGUGGUGUAUGUCAGACUUCCAAGAAAAGCUCGCAAUGUCAUAGAUAAAAAAUGCCUGUACCAUAACCGACACAGGUGGGUAGGUAGAGUAUACUAAGGGGCGCGAGAUAACUCUCUCUAAGGAACUCGGCAAAAUGACUCCGUAACUUCGGGAGAAGGAGUGCCUUAUUUAUAAGGUUGCAAUAACAAGAUCCAAGCAACUGUUUAUCAAAAACACAGGUCUCCGCUAAGUCGUAAGACGAUGUAUGGGGGCUGACGCCUGCCCAGUGCCAGAAGGUUAAAGAAGUUGGUUAGUGUAAGCGAAGCUGAUAACUGAAGCCCUGGUGAACGGCGGCCGUAACAAUAACGGUCCUAAGGUAGCGAAAUUCCUUGUCGGGUAAGUUCCGACCCGCACGAAAGGCGUAAUGAUUUGGAUACUGUCUCGGAGAGAGGCUCGGUGAAAUAGACUUGUCUGUGAAGAUGCGGACUACCUGCACCAGGACAGAAAGACCCUAUGAAGCUUUACUGUAACUUGAAAUUGGAAUUGGACUUUGCUUGCGCAGUAUAGGUGGGAAGCGUUGAAGAUACUCUUGCGGGACUAUUGGAGCUAUCAGUGAGAUACCACUCUUGUAAUGUUAGAUUUCUAACUUUGAACCAUAAUCUGGUCAAAGAACAGUUUCAGGCGGGCAGUUUGACUGCGCGGUCGCCUCCUAAAUGGUAACGGAGGCGUACAAAGGUUUCCUCUGAACGGAUAGAAAUCGUAUCUAGAGUGUAAAGGCAUAAGGAAGCUUGACUGUGAGACCUACUAGUCGAGCAGGGACGAAAGUCGGUCUUAGUGAUCUGACGGUACUGAGUGGAAAGGCCGUCACUCAACGGAUAAAAGUUACUCUAGGGAUAACAGGCUGAUCUCCCCCAAGAGUUCACAUCGACGGGGAGGUUUGGCACCUCGAUGUCGGCUCAUCGCAUCCUGGGGCGGUAGUACGUCCCAAGGGUUGGGCUGUUCGCCCAUGAAAGCGGUACGCGAGCUGGGUUCAGAACGUCGUGAGACAGUUCGGUCCAUAUCCGGUGUAGGCGUUAGAAUAUUGAGAGGAGCCUUCUUUAGUACGAGAGGACCGAGAAGGACACACCGCUGGUGUACCAGUUAUCGUGCCAACGGUAAACGCUGGGUAGCUAUGUGUGGAGAGGAUAACCGCUGAAAGCAUCUAAGUGGGAAGCCCACCUCAAGAUGAGUAUUCUCAC
RNAcentral lists this ribosomal RNA (1243 nucleotides) under metagenome. RNAcentral describes it as "bacterial LSU rRNA". It matches the Rfam family "Bacterial large subunit ribosomal RNA", at positions 1564 to 2817 of the family's 2925-position model. The record is from RNAcentral.